This 253-nucleotide ribosomal RNA is filed under the name uncultured bacterium. RNAcentral describes it as "partial 16S ribosomal RNA". It matches the Rfam family "Bacterial small subunit ribosomal RNA", at positions 524 to 776 of the family's 1533-position model. The record is from RNAcentral.
UACGGGGGGGGUAAGCGUUGUUCGGAAUUAUUGGGCGUAAAGAGCUCGUAGGCGGCUUGUCACGUCGGAUGUGAAAGCCCGGGGCUUAACCCCGGGUCUGCAUUCGAUACGGGCUAGCUAGAGUGUGGUAGGGGAGAUCGGAAUUCCUGGUGUAGCGGUGAAAUGCGCAGAUAUCAGGAGGAACACCGGUGGCGAAGGCGGAUCUCUGGGCCAUUACUGACGCUGAGGAGCGAAAGCGUGGGGAGCGAACAGG